CAGAAAGUCCAACUGCACUGAAAAACUCACCAUGGCCCUGGCCUUGCUGUCCUUGGUGCUUCUCAAUUGCUGUGCUGGUGUACAUUCUCAGGGAAUGUUGACUCAGCUGGCUUCAGUGUCUGGAUCCCUGGGACAGAAGGUCACACUCUCCUGCACCAAAGGCAGUGGAAGCUGGGAUAGUGGUAUUGGUUGGGUUCAACAGAAAUCUGGAGAGGCCCCUCGCUUUGUCCACUGCAAUGGCUGCAGCAGGGGACCAGGGAUCCCAGAUCGGUUCACAGCAACCGCUUCUGGGAACAUGGGCACUUUAACCAUCACAAAUGCCCAGGCCGAAGACGAGGCCGAUUAUUACUGUUUGUGUUGGUACAGCACAGGCAGCUCGACUGUUGCCAAAAAUUAA
Molecule: non-coding RNA, 397 nt
Organism: Anolis sagrei ordinatus
Lineage: Eukaryota; Metazoa; Chordata; Lepidosauria; Squamata; Anolidae
Source: the annotation of a RefSeq genome assembly